UGUGUGUGUGUAGUAGUGAAAAGGCAGACUGUGUUGUACCCUGUGUCCUCUCUGAAGGGGUUAUUGUGAAGGCUCUAGCCUGCUGCUUCUGAUGCUGCUCCCUCUGAGGAAGAGCAUCCUGAAAAACAUGACCAUGAUCUCCUUUUACUGGGACACUCACAUCUCAACCUCCACAUACCAGUCAAAGACACUUCUGCCCAAAUGCAAAAAGAGUCUGGUAAGCUAACGCCUCAAACUGUGGUCAGAGGGAGCUGGGGUGCAGACAGCAGACAACAGAUGGUUGGGGGUGGAAGUAGAGGUGUUUGGGGUGGAGAGGACGGUGGACUCAGUGGACGACAUCCCAGCCAUUUACCUGAUGGCAGAUGUCACAAAGUGCUUUUACAGUAACCCGGCCUACACCAGGGGAACCCGGGACAUACAGGGCACCACUGUUCCUGCCUCUCUUUCUCCCUGUGUGAUGACAUAUCCUGUUUAGGCACCUGGCCAGCUGAGUGCAGCUGGCUCUCCCGUCAACAUGAGGAUCCUGCUGCUCCAGCCCCAAAAACACAUUGGCACACAGACACACACACGCACACUAUUAGGAAUGCUAGCCUAUUUAAAUGUUUGUGUGUUGUGUGUCAGAGUUAAGGGAUAGUAAGACAGUGUUUGAGAAGAGGUGUCUGGUGUGGGAGGAGGACAUGGAGAUGCACUCCAAGUUUCUGGACAGAAAGGAAGAGUUGAAGGCGGAGCAUGCCUUGUACCUGCAGCAGCACCUGGAGCUCCUUGCCAUGAUGGCCAACUUCUUGCAGUUCCUUUCACCACGAAAACUGAGCAAUGUCUUGUUUGCCCUUGGACUUCUCCCCCUUCUCCUCCCACUUACAUCCAGGUGGCACAUUCAACACCUCUCCUUGUCAACACACUGGCUGGGUCUCAAUAGUCUGUUAGCUUCCUCUCACAGGCGCUAUAGUGAGGACAAUACUCUUGUCAUUAUUAUGAACAUGAGGCCCUCCAUCAUCAAAUAUUAAUGCUUUAAUGGAAGUUUUGUAUUUUAAUUGUGAGAAAUGUUUUACCGUUAUUGUUUGACUGAGCUUCACUGAAAACAAUUCCAAUCAACUCUGUUGAUAUGGCAAUGCAAGAGUUAGUUACAGUGUGUCUUAUACAUUUUCCAUGGUUGAUUUCUGUUAUGAACUUUGUGGUAAUUUUAGUAACUGCUACUUUGCUUUUGCUCUGAUGUGAUCACCCAAUACAUUUGUAAGAAUAAAGUUACUAAUGCUAUUGUUUGG
Oncorhynchus tshawytscha (Chinook salmon) is the source of this 1262-nucleotide long non-coding RNA. The record is from Ensembl. NCBI's taxonomy places the organism in Eukaryota, Metazoa, Chordata, Actinopteri, Salmoniformes, Salmonidae.